AGAUUAAGUUAUUAAGGGCGCACGGUGGAUGCCUUGGCACUAGAAGCCGAUGAAGGACGUUACUAACGACGAUAUGCUUUGGGGAGCUGUAAGUAAGCUGUGAUCCAGAGAUUUCCGAAUGGGGGAACCCAGCACGAGUUAUGUCGUGUUAUCCGCAUGUGAAUACAUAGCAUGUGAGAAGGUAGACCCGGAGAACUGAAACAUCU
RNAcentral lists this ribosomal RNA (206 nucleotides) under Staphylococcus agnetis. RNAcentral's name for it is "partial 23S ribosomal RNA". It matches the Rfam family "Bacterial large subunit ribosomal RNA", at positions 1 to 203 of the family's 2925-position model. The record is from RNAcentral. Lineage: Bacteria; Bacillati; Bacillota; Bacilli; Caryophanales; Staphylococcaceae.